GGGAUUGCCCUAGUAACGGCGAGUGAAGCGGCAACAGCUCAAAUUUGAAAUCUGGCCCUCGUGGUCCGAAUUGUAAUUUGUAGAGGAUGCUUUGGGUGCGGUGCCUUCCGAGUUCCCUGGAACGGGACGCCAGAGAGGGUGAGAGCCCCGUACGGUUGGCCACCUAGCCUCUAUAUAGCUCCUUCGACGAGUCGGGUAGUUUGGGAAUGCUGCUCUAAAUGGGAGGUAAAUUUCUUCUAAAGCUAAAUACCGGCCAGAGACCGAUAGCGCACAAGUAGAGUGAUCGAAAGAUGAAAAGCACUUUGAAAAGAGGGUUAAAUAGCACGUGAAAUUGUUGAAAGGGAAGCGUUUACGACCAGACCUUCUCCAGGCGGAUCAUCCGGUGUUCUCACCGGUGCACUUCGUCUGGUGUAGGCCAGCAUCGGUUUUCGUAAGGGGAUAAAGGCCUGGGGAACGUAUCUCCUUCGGGAGUGUUAUAGCCCCUCGCGUAAUACCCUUACGGGGACCGAGGACCGCGCUCUACGCAAGGAUGCUGGCGUAAUGGUCGUCAACGACCCGUCUUGAAACACGGACCAAGGAGUCGAACAUUUGUGCGAGUGUUUGGGUGUUAAACCCUCACGCGUAAUGAAAGUGAACGGAGGUGAGAGCCCCUCCGGGGUGCAUCAUCGACCGAUCCUGAUGUCUUCGGAUGGAUUUGAGUAAGAGCAUAACUGUUCGGACCCGAAAGAUGGUGAACUAUGCGUGGAUAGGGUGAAGCCAGAGGAAACUCUGGUGGAGGCUCGCAGCGGUUCUGACGUGCAAAUCGAUCGUCAAAUCUGCGCAUGGGGGCGAAAGACUUAUCGAACCAUCUAGUAGUGGUACGCGA
This 865-nucleotide ribosomal RNA is filed under the name Hypoxylon sp. RNAcentral's name for it is "partial large subunit ribosomal RNA". It matches the Rfam family "Eukaryotic large subunit ribosomal RNA", at positions 71 to 961 of the family's 3401-position model. The record is from RNAcentral. Lineage: Eukaryota; Fungi; Ascomycota; Sordariomycetes; Xylariales; Hypoxylaceae.